Molecule: long non-coding RNA, 514 nt
Filed under: Salvia miltiorrhiza (redroot sage)
Lineage: Eukaryota; Viridiplantae; Streptophyta; Magnoliopsida; Lamiales; Lamiaceae
Description: long non-coding RNA (SMIL_LNC009645)
Source: RNAcentral
AAGACUUGAAAUGAGUUCUAAAUCUAUUUGCACUCUUUUCCUUCUACUCUUGUUGAUUUUUUUGCUUUGAACACUAAUCAACUGACCUUGUGAUUGUUCCUCUUUUGCAGCCUUCCAUAAACGGGCGAUAGAACUCCGACAACAUCCCCAUUUCGCCAUGGCAGCCGUAUGCGUCCCGUAGUGGAGCUUCCCAUUUGUAGAGUUUUGAAGAAGAAACAAUGCAAUAGCUUGUCUUUCUUCACUAGUUAGAUCUUUCCUUCUUGUCAUCUUCUUUUUCUUUUUUUUCUUUUUUGGUGGGAAGUGUUUUUUGAGCUAUGAAUCUGUGUAGAAUUGCUGCCGAAAUUUUGAUGAAAUUAGUGUGGCAAAGACCCCUUUUAUAGGGAUUGUAAACAUAUCUUUUGGUGGGAAUUUUAAAUUCAGUUUUUGUGCAAUUUAAUUGAAGCAGCGCCUUUUUUACCUUUUCAGUUCAGUUUUUAAAUUCAACUUUUUUGUGCAAUUAAAUUUAGCUUUUGUG